CUUGAUUUGCUUGACAUUAGUAAUUCUCUUUCAUGAGCGCAUUGGGGAAUACCGAAAUGGCAAGAUCCGAGCCGAUGUGAUUGACCCCUGCGAAUAUUCGGAAGCCAUUUAUCCCAAACAGGCCCUGCUAUGGUGAGGUGUGUCAGCGAUGACGGAUGUGGAGGCGACCUAUGAGGACUUCAUCGCCUCUCGACGAUCUGGCCGCAGGAAUGCCAUCCAUGAUAUUCCAGACGCCCCUGGAGAACCGGGCACCACUGAUCUGUCAGAGAGUCUGGCACAGCUCAACAUCAACAAGUCAGGUGAUGAGGGAGAAGAUGCUGAGAAAAGCCAGAACUCUCCAACUAAAGAAGAGCAGACUCAAGCUGAGGGAAGCUAAGUGCCACCGGACAUUUAUGGACUCCAGCAGCCACUUCUUUUAGUCUAUCUGCUCCCUGUAUGCUAAGCCUCUGCCUGGCCAGUUGCAUCUAAUGACUGUGAACAACAAAAUCUUCUAUUGCCACUAUCCUGCCAUCAGGAAGUCAUCACUAUGGCAACCACAGCACAGUCUCUCUCUCUCUCUCUCUCUCUCUCACUUGUAAUUGGGUGUGUUCCAAUUUCCUUAAAAACCCUCCUUCCUUUGCUGCCUUUUGUCCAAGGCUGCUGAUAUCAGAUUGGAUGUAAUUUAAGGUGAACUAAACAUGAUGUCAACAACCAAAACCAGCCCACUUUUGACUGUGAGUGGUUUUGAGUGGAAAGUGGAGGGUGGAAAUCAGGCUAGUAAAGGUUUUUAGAGCACCCUUAAGUGUAGCCACAGAAUUAAAAAUUGUCUUCCCCCCUCUCCUCGUCUCCUUGAAUUAAUCACCGCUGAUGCGACUGAAACACAGACGGCGACUGGACAUCUACUGAUCUUGCCUCGACGCCUGAACACGUGCUCCCUCCAUAAGUACUCACUAUUGACCGUUUCCUAUUUCCAUGGAUCUGUGUAUUGGAUUGAUGGACGUUAUCCUGCAACUGCACUCAGCAGCUCAAAGGCCCUGUUGUACUUUGUUGCAUGUAUCCACCCAUAUCUAAAUGGGUAUUUUUUAUCAUCAUUUCAGACAUCCCAUUUGAAGUAUUACACUGGUCAAACAGGGUCCAGUUUUUGUUUUGUUUUUUUAAAAAGUAAGAGUCAGAUCACAGGAUGUAAAGCAUUUUUUUUUUCCAAGUUAGGAACAGCAUCAUGUGCUCCUCGAUCUGUCACAGGCAAAAUGAGUGUCUGUUUAGUUUUGGUGGCUGGCUUCACUGCACCUUGCUUUACUCUUGCACACUGACCCAUAACUUUGAGUUCACUAUAACUACUCGCUAGCCUUUUGUUGUUUGCACUGCCAGGCCUCACAAAUGAAGCCAGGGAGUACAAAUUGUACAAACCCAAAAUUGUGGGUUUUUCAAACCAUUGUUCUGCCAAGGCAAUAUUUUCUUUUGCUUUGCUAAUUCAGGACCUGGACUACUUCCCAUAAUUGAUGGAACCAUGAAUUCAACUCUUUACAAGAAAAUACAGAAAGAGAACAUCUGGCCAUCGGUUUGUGGUCCGAACUUCAAGCACACUUGGGUUAUUGAGUAGGACAGUGAUCCAAAACACACCAGCAAGUCCACCUCUGAAUAGCUCGAACCAACAAAAUGAAGGUUUUGGACUCCUAAUGAGAUGUUUUUCAUGACCUUAAAAACACUGUUCAUGCUCAUAAAACCCUCCAAUGUGGAGGAAUCAAAACAAUUCUGCAGAAAAGACUCACUCUGCUACAGCAAUGUGAAUGACUCAUUACCAAUACUUGCAAAACCUCUUGCCUGCAGUUCUUAUUACCAAGCCUAGCACCACCAUUUAUUAGGCUUAGGGGUCAUGUACUGUUUCACACAGGGCCAGGUAGGUUUGGAUAGCUUUUUUCAAUUAAUACAAGAAAUCAUCUUUUUUUCUUUUUUUUUUAAAAAGCAUUUUGUUUGAACUCGGGUUAUCUUUAGGAAAAUGCUUUUUAAUGACGCUGUAAACAAUGAAAUUGAUUGGUUGGAAAGUAGGAUUUCACCCUUACUGUACAUCUUAUACUUCAAUAAUUGUAAUCAAAACUGGCUGCUCACUGUCUGCAAAUGUGUCCGGUCUAACUUGUGAUGGCCUUGGAUGCAGGAGUUCUCCUUACAUGCAGGGUAUCUACACACAUUAAGUGGUUUUCCCACAGUUUAACAUUGCACUGCCAUGUAUUAUACCCAAGUGUGUAAUUUGGUUGUGGUGGACAUCAAGGAAAAACAUUUAUUUGCUACUUAAGAUUUGGAAAUUGCACUACUGAUAGCACUGCAGUGUGGUUUAUUAGUGUGUGCUGUAUGUGUAAAUUUUCGUAGAUAAGACGACUGUUAGAAUGAAUCAUUUGUACUGGCACACUGUCAGUUUUGCAAUUCCCUUUUGUAAUCCGUUUUCAUAGUUUCGUUUUAACACCAUUACUGUACUCUGUCCAGUUUAGAUCUACUAAGGAAAUAUGUGGGCAUACAUUCUAAAAAUGCUUUAUUACUUUUUUAUAUCUUGCAGCUGAUCAUUUUGUUUUCAUUGUUUAGUUACCUUCACUAAGGAGGUUAUGUUUUUACUACCGUUUCUAGUUAUUUGUCAACAGGAUUAUGCAUCUGCAGCUACCUGGAUGAUUUUCAGGAAACUUGGAGGUAACGUGGAGUAUGGGCAUAUAGGAAGAAGCUGUAAAAAUUGGGCGGGUGGACGGUGGGUGUAGUAAACCUUUAGUUUUAACCUGUUAAAAGGGAUUAGUGCCAUUUUAUAGUGCAUCAUAGGACUAUGAUAACUUGUACUUUGAGUCCAGUGUAAUGUGAUUUAAUGACCGGUACUGUUGCAAUUUAGGUGAGCUAAAGAACUCAAGCUGUUGUUCCAUUUCCCACUGUUAUUUUCAGUAUUUUAUAAAAUUCCCGAUUUAGUCAUGUUAUUGUGUUAUCAGAGGCAUUACUAUGUAAUAUACUCAUUUUUGACUUUGUCGAUUUGGUUAGUUUUGAUGUGCAAUUAAAUUUUACUAGUGAAUUAA
Molecule: long non-coding RNA, 3023 nt
Organism: Oreochromis niloticus (Nile tilapia)
Lineage: Eukaryota; Metazoa; Chordata; Actinopteri; Cichliformes; Cichlidae
Exons: 3
Source: RefSeq, a predicted model, not a curated record